CCAAAGAGCCCAAAAUGGAGUUAACCCAUAUUCAGUGAAAGCAGGUGCUCCAAUUAGCAAAUAUUCAGGUUAUCCAGGUACAACUACCAAAGCUGGGCCUGGAAUAUCAGACACUGCCCUGGCUCACAUUCUCAGACCUCUCUCACCGAUGUGUGUGCCGGAAGGUAAGUGACCUUUUGGAUAGUAAAUAUCCUCUCUACUCUUGUAACAAGCCUGAUUGGGCUGGUGAGCAAAAUAAUGUCCACCAUUGACUACUCUAUAUCCUAACAGGGUUCAGACUUCAAUUAAUGUUUUUUUUUCUCUAGCACAGGGUUUACAUUUAGUUAACAAUUGAUUAAGACUCUCCUGAAUUGUGUUCAGAUGAUGGUGAAUCGGACUCUGUUGGGAUCACAUGUCCACCCCUGGGACUUCUACGUUUGUUGACUCUUCCCCUGGACAUUUUAAGGCUUUUUUUAGGCUAUUUUGCCAGAAAAAAAGGAUGCAGUGGAGCAUAGCAUAUUUAGAAAAAAUAAAUAAACUCAAGCAUCUUGUGCUUAUAAUACUUCUUAUAAAAUCCAAUGAGACAAAGUUUGCUUAUGCCUGUUAUUUAUUCAUUGUAACUACAGUAGAUGUUAAACCAGCAC
Long non-coding RNA from Coregonus clupeaformis (lake whitefish), 623 nucleotides. RefSeq lists it as uncharacterized. The record is from RefSeq and is a predicted model, not a curated record. Lineage: Eukaryota; Metazoa; Chordata; Actinopteri; Salmoniformes; Salmonidae. The transcript is spliced from 3 exons.